CUUGUCUGCACUCCCGUUCUUUAUAGGCCUGAAGUAAGCCAAAAGAGCGGGAGUGCAGAUAAC
Molecule: microRNA precursor, 63 nt
Filed under: Ciona intestinalis (vase tunicate)
Lineage: Eukaryota; Metazoa; Chordata; Ascidiacea; Phlebobranchia; Cionidae
Description: microRNA cin-mir-4115 precursor
Source: miRBase by way of RNAcentral